CCUACGGGUGGCAGCAGUGAGGAAUAUUGGUCAAUGGCCGGAAGGCUGAACCAGCCAAGCCGCGUGAAGGACGAAGGUGCCAAGCAUUGUAAACUUCUUUUGUCAAGGGACAAAAUCAGGCUCGAGAGCCUGACCGAGGGUACUUGAAGAAAAAGCAUCGGCUAACUCCGUGCCAGCAGCCGCGGUAAUACGGAGGAUGCGAGCGUUAUCCGGAUUUAUUGGGGUUAAGGGGUGCGUAGGCGGGCUGUUAAGUCAGCGGUAAAAGCCCGGGGCUAAACCCCGGCGAGCCGUGGAAACUGGGGGUCUUGAGAUGUCGAGAGGUAUGCGGAAUGCGCAGUGUAGCGGUGAAAUGCUUAGAUAUUGCGCAGAACUCCGAUUGCGAAGGCAGCAUACCGGCGGCGAUCUGACGCUGAGGCACGAAAGCGUGGGUAUCGAACAGGAUUAGAUACCCGAGUAGUC
RNAcentral lists this ribosomal RNA (459 nucleotides) under uncultured bacterium. RNAcentral describes it as "partial 16S ribosomal RNA". It matches the Rfam family "Bacterial small subunit ribosomal RNA", at positions 338 to 795 of the family's 1533-position model. The record is from RNAcentral.